CCAAAAUAUUCCCAAGCCCUGACUCUCUCACUCAGUCUCUCUUCCCUCUCGCUCAUCACGCCCGCUCUCUCCCGUAGCCUUCCUCCUCUUCGCUCAUCACGCUCGAACGCCAAAUCUUGAACUCCAAAGCGCCCCAAUCUCGAACCCCACUGUCGGUUGUCUCUCUCCCUCUCGUUCUAUAUGACGGGUAGCCACCACCCCCUUCGUCGUGCUCGUCUCUCUCCUUCAAAUGGUCAAGGAUCCAGCAGUGUAGCACAUGUAGCAGAAGUGUGAUAAUUACCCAGAUUGUCUGAACACCUGCAUAACAGCCGUAGUUUCCCUCAUAAGUUGAGUAACAGGGAUAGGUUCCUGUUAGUGUUGAGGUUAAUUCAAUCUUGAUUGGUGAACUCUGACUCAUUCUGCGACCACAACCCUGUACUAGUUAUCUAAAUCAAACAACAGUUAGUAUUUAAGAGAUGUCUGUUGGGCCACAAUAAGAAACAAACUCAAUCUUCUGUUGGAUUUCAUGGUUUCAAGCUUACUGAAUCUUGAUACUGGAGAAAUUUAUGCACAGAAACUUGCUAACUUUGUUUAAAAGCGACUGAAAUCAGAACGGGCUGCUUCUUCUACCUAUAUCUGUUGAUCCCAAAAAACAAGUCUACAUCUCUCUUUUACUAAAAAGUGUAUAGAUGUCGCGGUUGAUCACUCGUUGUCAGAGUGUGAUCGAGGCGGCUCCCUCAUUAUCAGCAUCUACUGCUCCAAGCGUGAGUGCUCCAUUGAUUGGGGAGCCUACACCCCUUACUGAGGCUACUCCUACGGCAUCCCAGGUGCCCGUCUCAUCGACAUCAUCAGUGUCGAUUCAGCCGCUCAGUGCACGGCGGCCUCAUCGGCGCCGCCGCGAGUCGGAGCCUUCUGAUCACACUUCCUUAGCAUCCAGAGUUGAGGAUGAGGCCUCCCAUCCAGCUAAAAAAACACUAGGGGGCCUAGUCGAAUGCUAAAGUCGGCUCAGAGCGUACGUAUGAUCGGCUCCAAGAUCAAGAUUCAGUAUGACUCGCGACAUUGUGGAGCGACUACCUCACAGCAGCAUAGUGGCGUCGCUAGUGGCUGUGGUGUUGUUAUUAAGCAAAAUUGUCCUAUGCAGUGGGACUCUUGGACAGAUAUUCCUCAGAGGACGAUGGAACUGGUGCUAGACUAGUUGUCGGUCGUUUUUUAUCUUAAGGACAUAUCCCCCGAGGCCAUGGCCUACUUAGAGGAGGGCUUAGCAACCCAGUACAAACAUUGGAAGAACUAUCUUCACACGCAUUUUUAGCGAUACGAUGAUCCGGAGGUUGCUCGCCUACAUGGUUGCCCAAUCGAGUUGAAGGACCGGCCAGAGGAUUGGGAGUGGCUCUGCAAACAUUUUACGGACCCAAAAUUUGUGAAGAAAUCUCUUGCUGGCAAGAAAGCUCGGGACUCAAAGACACUUCUUCACCAUUCUGGUUCGAAGCCCUUUUUGUAUAGGCUUGAGGCACGAUGUCAGGGGGGUUCUAAGUUCCCAGAGAUCAACACGUUCGAGGAAGUUUACGUUCGACCUGGAAAUGAGAUCUCUGAGCACCUUCAUGCUCUUAUGGUGGAAAAGCACGCUGCUGUUGUCCAAGAAGCAACAUCACAGUUUCCCCCGAAUACCCCGAUCGAGGACGUCACGGUACCCGAGGAUGUAGGUUUUCAGAUCGUGACUGAUGUGAUGGAGCAAAACUUCGGUCGUCGUCAUGGUAAGGUUGUUCAGUGCAUGGGGAAAGCGCGAGUUCGUGAGAUGGGUGCCUCUUCUUCCAACUCGAACAUAGCAGAGGUUGAUGCAUUAAAGGAGCAAGUGACAACCCUACAGGGUCAGCUUGAGAUCCAGGGCGAGCAGAUGAAAGAGCAGAUGAGGGUCCAGGCCGAGCAGAUGAAGGAGUAGAUGAGGGCCCAGGCCGAGCAAAUGAAGGAGCAUAUGAGAGACCUUGUACGAGCCAUACAGACGUUCGGCCUUCAAAUCUCGCUACCAGUACCUGAUCUUGCUACACCUUCGACUUUUGAGCCACGUCAACCUGUCGAUACCUAGUAGCCUGAUGUAUAGAAGACUACUUGUAGUUUUUUCUUUUUUAUUCGAACAUCUUGUAUGUACAUUUUCAUAUAUUUUAUAAUUAAAUACUUUUAUUUGCUUAA
Molecule: non-coding RNA, 2163 nt
Organism: Malus domestica (apple)
Lineage: Eukaryota; Viridiplantae; Streptophyta; Magnoliopsida; Rosales; Rosaceae
Source: RefSeq, a predicted model, not a curated record